AAAUACCAUGUGUGCAUGAACAAUUGCAUCAUUUAUCGGGACGAGCACGCGGAGUCUACCAUAUGUCCGAUGUGCGGCAUCACUCGAUACAAGAAGAGGAAGAAAGCUCCUCGAAAAGUGGUGUGGUACUUUCCGAUCACUCCUCGUCUGCAGCGGUAUUUCGCGGACCCUAAGGUAGCAAAGCUCCUGCGUUGGCACGCAGAUAGGGAGGAGAAGAAGCGAGAAGAUGACGCAAAUGAUCCGGAGAUAGAUAAAAAAGACAAGAUGCUGAGUCACCCUAAGGAUGCGAGCCAGUGGCAAGCGUUGAACUUCGAAGAACCAGAAUUUGGGAACGAUCCAAGGAACAUCGUGCUGGGCGCGAGCACCGAUGGAGUCAAUCCGUUUGGCAGCCAGAGAAGCACACAUAGCACCUGGCCUGUGUUUGUGUGUAUGUACAACCUUCCCCCCUGGUUGCGCAUGAAGAGGAAGUACAUUCACAUGAGUAUGCUAAUUGAAGGGCCGAAACAACCAGGGAACGACAUCAAUCUGUAUCUGGGG
This 537-nucleotide ribosomal RNA is filed under the name Triticum aestivum (bread wheat). Its description in RNAcentral is "partial small subunit ribosomal RNA". Lineage: Eukaryota; Viridiplantae; Streptophyta; Magnoliopsida; Poales; Poaceae. The record is from RNAcentral.